CUCUCAGGAAUGGGUAGUGGGUACUGAACGAGUCCAGAGUUUGUUUUCAGGGUGAUGAACAGGUUCAGGAAUUAGGCAAUGGUGGCAUGACAUUGUGAAUAUACUAAAAAGAUUUAAUUGUACACUUUCAAAUGGUUAAGUUGAUGAAAUUUAUGAGAAUUUUAUUUCAAUUGAACAAUCUUAUAUCCUUACAUAUGUUUAUCAGUUGCUGAAAACAGCUUGUUAAAUUUUUCACUGUGCUUUGUAGAUUUUUCUAUUUCUCCUUUUAAUUCUGCCCAACUUUUUGAAGUUAUGGUACAUACAAAUUUGAAUUGUUAUAAGGUCAUUCCUUGUUAUUUGUGGUAGUUAUAUUGUACAAAGCUGUUCCAAAUACUGACUUAGUAAACACUUUCUCCAAGUGUUAGUAACACUUUCUCCAAAGAGGGAUACAGGGUUCGGUUCUUGUGAGGGUCUAUUCAAACAUUUUCAUUAACUGGUCACUACAAAACCUGGUUUUAUGGGCCAAGGAUGUAGCUCAGCGGCACAGCACCUGCCUGGUAAGUGCAAGGACCCAAGUUUGAUCCCUGCUAUGAAAAAAGCCCACCUGGUUUUAUGCACGUCUUUGUUUAAAGACAUUUUAAUAUAUAUUGUUGAUGCAUCAACAUCAAACUCAACAAACAGCAGUGCAAUUUACACUAGAAAUAGGUUCUCUCUCACACAUAUUUUCUUCCUAAGGUCCAUCCUGACCUUUUUGUAUCUUGGAACUCAUUAGCACUACAUUUGGGGACCAAUUUAAGCAGUGAAACUGUGAGGAGAAAGCACAAAAAUGUGGAAAACAUGACACUGAAUCGUUCAUCAGAAGAACUGUUUAUAGCCUGGGAACCGAAGCGAGGAAGAAGGCUGCCUUACUCAUCUCGGACCAUUCACAGGAUGCUCUAAUGUUCCCAGUAUCCUCUGCUUGUCCACGAAUAACCCCAAAAUCUAUGAGACCAUGGAUUUGGGAUGACAAACUUCAGCAAGCAGGUACUAUUGCAAAUACGGACUCCUCAAUAAUGAGGAUCAAUUGUCUUGCUGCAACUUGGAUUUCUAGGUCUUAAAAUGUCCCUCUGGCCAUGGCAUCUCUAGAGAGCCUGAGGAGCCAGAAACUCCCUACACAAAGGCUCCACUUAGAAAGAGGAAACUGGAAACGCUACUGGCAGCUUCCCCGGUUUCUGUCCUAGGGAGCAACUUUUUUGUUUUGUUUUGUUUUGUUUUUUUGGCAGUACUGGGCAUUAAAUAGGACCUUCACACUGAGCUACAUCCUCAGCCCCUACUUUAAUCUUUUAUUUUGAGACAGAGGCUCACCAAAUUGAUAAGUGGCCCAGGCUGGCCUUGAUUCUGCAAUUCUCCUGCCUCAGAGUGCUGGGAUUACAGGCGGUACCACCAUGCCCAACUAACUUCCUUCCUAACACCUGUCCUUUCAGGAUGGCUACGCCCACCUCCCCUAGUACGUACUUAUGCUCCUAUAACAAAUUAUCACUGCCUCGGUGGCUUAAAACAGUAGAAAUUUAUUCUCCAUUCUGGAGGCAAGAAGCCCACACUCCCUUCAAAGGACUAGGGGAGAGCCCUUCCCAUUCUUGUUCCAGCUGCUAGUGGCCAUCAGCCUUCCGGAGCCGUGCAGCUGGGAGUCCAGGCACUGCCUCUGUGGCUGUACUGCCUUCUCUUCCCCCUGUGAAAGCUUCCUUGGCCUCCCUCUGACAAAGGCCAGGUGAUUACACUGGGUAAUCCUGCAAACUGUUAGCCUCCCAAGAUCCCUCCUUUCCCAAGCCAGGUAACAGGUACAGGCUGUAGGAAUCAGGACCCGAUUGCCUUCUUUGAAGGACACUUUGCAGCCUGCUCUACCUUGUAUCCUCGUGCUUGGUGGGGAGGAAGGCCUCACUCAGAGGCCCACGGGACUUCCUGGUUUGUUCCAUGAGAACUGGCAACCCAGCUGAGCACGAGUAGGAUCUGGCCCUCAGUGAGAUGAGCAAUACACUCUGGAGACCAGGACAGAGGCCAGGGGACACCAGCUCUUCCUCAGUGCUGUAGCAUCUCUUGGGCACAGGGCUUGGCCCUGGGGUUGCGUUACUUCUGACAGUGACAGUAGCACCUCCUCCACGGUGGACCCAGGAGCUGCUGCAGAUUCACCUGUAAAUUAAAACCCUCUCCUCAGCAAAGGGCUGAGCCUGCCUCCUUCUGCUUCACAUACCAGAGGUCGGGCACUUUAUAAAGAAAAGAAAUUACUUUGGCUCACUGUGAUGGAAGUUGGGAAGUUCAAGAUCUGUGGAGGGCCUCAUGUCGGUGGGGACUCGGAAGAGUCCCAUGGCAGCACAGAGCAAGACACAGCAAGCUCGCUAGCUUGGGUCUCUCUUUCUCGUCGGAUGAAACCAGGAAGAAGUCACGAGGCCGCAUCCUCAUGACCGCAUCUUAUCCUAAUUACCACCAGGGCUGGGAAUUUAGCUCCGUGGUCCCACCACGUGCCUCGCAAGCUCAAGGACCAGAGUUCAAUCCUGGUACCAAAAAAAAAAAUUUCAGUGGCUAAUUACCGCCCCAAAGCCUCAGUUGUCCUACCAUUUAACACCUCACAGGGGAUUAAAUUUCAACAGGAGGUUUGGGAAGGACAGUCAAACUACAGCAAGCUGAUUCCACCAGACUGAUUGUUCCUUGAAUGCUGCAGCUGAGCCUGUCCAUGCAGCUAUGUAGCUGAUGAAGACCACCUGAACACUACCCCAUACUGGGUCCUGGGAAGGCAGGUCUCAGCCAGCCAGGUGCUCCCAGCCCAGCUGCAAAGGACUUGUGAGGUCUUUCAACAUUGAAUCUACCUUCCUCAGCUUCCCAGAGUGCUGGGAUUCCAGCAAUUUAGAUUUUUAUUUCCAUUGAAAUACUCCUCCAUCAUCUGAAACUCGAAGAAGUUCCAAAGGCAACUGGAAUGAUUGGGCGUCAGUGGGAUAAAGGCACCAAGAUUAGAAUAAGAAGCUCUAAAGAAGAACUCUAAAGCUAUUUCACCUGUUCCUGACUUGCUUACCUUCUCAGUGAUCUGGAAGACAUCGAGCUGCUGACACACGGAACAACCUGGGUAAAUCUUGAAUAUACACCAUUACGCUGAGUAAAAAAAGCCACACACAGAGGGAAACACUGUUGGAUUCCAUUUUUUAAAGGACAGUCUGAAAGGCAAAACUAUAGUGGCAAAAUUUAGACCAGUGGUUGCCAGAAUUGGGGAUGAAGGGGCUAACCUGGAUAAAACUGGGGUUAGUGGAACAUUUCUGGAUAAUGAAAAUGCUGUCCUGUUUAUCUUUAUUGUGAUUAUAUCUACAUGGUUGUUUGUAUACAUUCAUCAAAAUGUACAUGAAGAAUGGAGAAUGUUCUAUACAUAAAUUGUGCCUUGACACAUCCAAAAUACCUGACUUAAACAAUAAGCGUUAUCAUACCAAGAGUUAGACUGACAGGCCCAAUACGGUGGGGUUACUGUCUUGCCUCAUUGGAAUAAGACACUAUUAAUGCAGUUAAAACUAGUACUUGGCUUAGGGAAACCGUUUCACAAUUUUGUCUCAAAUCAAGC
RNAcentral lists this long non-coding RNA (3556 nucleotides) under Heterocephalus glaber (naked mole-rat). RNAcentral's name for it is "lncRNA (ENSHGLG00000048317.1)". Lineage: Eukaryota; Metazoa; Chordata; Mammalia; Rodentia; Bathyergidae. The record is from RNAcentral.